This 577-nucleotide ribosomal RNA is filed under the name uncultured bacterium. RNAcentral describes it as "bacterial SSU rRNA". It matches the Rfam family "Bacterial small subunit ribosomal RNA", at positions 338 to 916 of the family's 1533-position model. The record is from RNAcentral.
CCUACGGGAGGCAGCAGUAAGGAAUAUUGGUCAAUGGACGAAAGUCUGAACCAGCCAUGCCGCGUGAAGGAUUAAGGCCCUCUGGGUUGUAAACUUCUUUUAUCUGGGACGAAAAAAGGGUAUUCUUACUCACUUGACGGUACCAGAGGAAUAAGCACCGGCUAACUCCGUGCCAGCAGCCGCGGUAAUACGGAGGGUGCAAGCGUUAUCCGGAUUUACUGGGUUUAAAGGGUGCGUAGGUGGGCUUGUAAGUCAGUGGUGAAAUCUCCGGGCUUAACCCGGAAACUGCCAUUGAUACUAUAGGUCUUGAAUUAUCUGGAGGUAAGCGGAAUAUGUCAUGUAGCGGUGAAAUGCUUAGAUAUGACAUAGAACACCAAUUGCGAAGGCAGCUUACUACGGAUAUAUUGACACUGAGGCACGAAAGCGUGGGGAUCAAACAGGAUUAGAUACCCUGGUAGUCCACGCCCUAAACGAUGGAUACUCGACAUCAGCGAUACACUGUUGGUGUCUGAGCGAAAGCAUUAAGUAUCCACCUGGGAAGUACGAUCGCAAGAUUGAAACUUAAAGGAAUUGACGG